RNAcentral lists this unclassified non-coding RNA (202 nucleotides) under Rozellomycota sp. RNAcentral's name for it is "Cryptomycota sp. partial contains small subunit ribosomal RNA, internal transcribed spacer 1, and 5.8S ribosomal RNA". The stretch from base 1 to 46 matches the Rfam family "Eukaryotic small subunit ribosomal RNA", at positions 1786 to 1831 of the family's 1831-position model. The record is from RNAcentral. Lineage: Eukaryota; Fungi; Rozellomycota.
AAGUCGUAACAAGGUUUCCGUAGGUGAACCUGCGGAAGGAUCAUUACAAAUCUUUUGUGAGAGCUGCGUGCUGUUAUGCAGUGCGCAGUGACUCCAACAUUAGCACAGGGUUGCAAAACUCUGAUGUUUACGCUUGUUUGUUUGACAGAGUUAGUUGAGAAAUAAAUAAAGACAACUUUUAACAAUGGAUCUCUUGGCUCUU